UUUGUGAUUUGUUAUGUGAAAAGAAAUUUGUGAUGCGAAAAGAAAAUAAAAACUCAUUCUUGCUUUCUUCUUCAAGAAACGAAUGAAACAAAAACGAAAACAUUGUCGAUCGAAUUCGACACAUCCAUUCUUUCUUCUUCAAGAAUCGAACGAAACAGAAACCUCUGUGCGUGGAUGUUCGGUGGUUCGCUUAAUCAACUUUAUUAUUCGCAACAUCAACGAACAACAUUCAAUUUCCUGCUUGAAAAAAGGUGGCCAUAGCAAAUGCCAUCGUUUUCUGUGGUGAUCGAGUUGAAAGGACCGGUAAUCCUGUAAUUGAGAAGCUAUCAGAUUUAUAGAAACUAUCUGAAAUUGUUGUGUCCAAAUUCGGUUCUCCCAUCAAUGCUUGGGUUAUUGAAGCUUCUGUUUUCAAUGGACCUUUCGCUGUCUACAUGUGAAUCAAUAUGGAGAGCCAGGAUCGUACAAUCCAAUUGGAUUCCCAGCAUCUUUAUCAACGGUCUCACUUCUAUCUAAUUGCAUUGAAGAAGUAUGAACUGUUUCUUCCCUUUCUUAUUAUAUGGAGACAUAGGCACUGUUCUGCUUGCAACCUUUGUUUAUUCCUCUGUCUGCUAUUAAUCAUUUUGUCUAACAUAAGUCACAGCUCAAACAUAUCUCAGUCCUACAUGCCGUGUGUGCAGGGUGCAUAGAACUUAAAUCCUAAUCUUGACCCUUAUUAACAUAAUCUGACCUUAGUAAAAGUAUGUGGCCUAAUUAUUUUGAUAGGCAAAUGUUAGUUAUCAGCAGUAAAUUAGUGGAGUCUAAACUGUUUCUUAUAAUAUCUAUCUGGUAUAUAUGGCAUUAUGGCCAUGAGGUUGUAUCUGUUGGUAUUUUUUACCGCAGAUCUAUUGUGAAAUCUGAUAAAAUUUGGUGGGUGUUGGUAUAAGAAUAAGAUAGCACAAUAUUUGUGUUGAUAAUUAUAAAUGUAAGUCUUGGGUUUAGUAACUAAAAAAGAUAGAAACUUACCUAUUUUUAUCAUUCUUGGUGGCUCAAAAAUGUGAAAUGUGUCAACACAGACAGCAUGAAAUCUGCUUUCCCUUAAUGACCCUUGUCCCUCAAUGGAAAAUGAAUUAUGAAUUCUUUAUUCAUAAUGGAAAACUUGGAUGGAGGCUUUCAAAGCAAAGCAAUUUUAUUCAAAACGUGGAUGGUGUCUAUUGUCUUUUUAUGACACUAAUUGUGAAACUGUCACUAGUGGUAUGAUAUACAAGAGAUCACUAACUCCAAAUUCGAUGGAUAUACUUUGUUCCUUGAUUUUUGUAAGGGAUUGUCUUUGUGGCUCAAAAAUGCUGGUAUGAUAUAUAUUGUGCUUUAAUGACCCUAGUCCCUAAAUGCAAUUUUGCAAUUACAAUAUGAACUGAUUUUGCAAAUGCAAAACGCAUUGCGUCCUUGUGUUUGAUUAGCCUACUGAUAGGGGUUUCAAAGGAUUUCUCUAAGGAAGACACGAAUCAACUGAAGCAAAGUACAAAGAAACCAACUCUUUGGAGUCUAAACUGUUUCUUAUAAUAUUUAUCUAUCUGGUAUAUAUGGCGUUAUGGCCAUGAGGUUGUUUCUCUCUAGAAUCGAAUUUGGGUUCUCUCGAAUUAUUCCUCCUAGGGGGAGCUCAUUAACCACUUGAGUCCAAUCACUUGGUUUAGUGAUUGCUACUUGUCUGUCAUGACUCAUAAUUACUUUUCAUUGCAUGAUCUCUAUCUUAUUAUCAGCUUUUGCUUCUGUCAUUUACUUCCUUUUAGUUGAUUUGAAUUGGUUUCAGACUUUAGUGUUGUCAAACAGCGGCUAUAGUAGCAGUACAAUGAUGUGUUUAGUAUUUUUAACUAUUGCUAUGUCUGAUUAUCCAUUGCUCUUUAGUAUUACUAAUAUAUAAUGAAACUAUGGGGCAUCCUAUUGUCAUGAUAAACUGCACCACAUAAUUGAUAACUUUUGCUUUUGUUUUGGCGCAACUCGUGUAGUUUGCAUAAUAUUGGUUUCAGCUUGAAGGCAAUUGAAAAAGCCAUAGUUAACUCUGAUGUUGGUAUGACUCCAAAUAAUGAUGGAGAAGUGAUACUGUUGAAUAUCACUCAGUUGACAUCUGACUGAUGGAAGGUAAUUUCAACUUCCAUGGAGAAGUGCUUUUAACGAUUUAUUGAAGAUAUCGAACAACUGAUCCUUGGAGCUCACAAAAGAAAUCUUGAUGAUGUCUGAGAGGAUCUUUUUCUCUAAUGAAAUUAAAGUCAACUUCUAUGCAUUUAGUCCUUAUUUUGAAAGAAGAUACAACACUAAAUGUUUAUUACACACAAGCUCUAUAGGUGUGAAAUAUGAGGAACCAAUUCUGUCAACUAGGAUAUAACAAUGUUUUAAGUGUACCAAUCUAACUUACUAUUAACAUUGAAAGUUUUCUCUGCCACCCUUGUAUCAAUGAGAUUUGGUAGUGACUGUAAAGUAGUAUGUGCACGUCACGUGCCUUAGAACAAUGGACUGAAAACUUGUGCAUGCGAUGUGAAUAAUCCAUCUCAAGGUGCAAAUAUACAAUAAACAAUGCUAUGCAUUUUGCUCUCCAUUUUUAACUUUUUGGUGUUGCAGACACGUGGUAAUUUUAUCGUCUUUAUAACUUAGAUAUUGUAGCAACUAGCAAGCAGCUAAAUUUUUGGCUAUCUAUCUGUUCAAUAUUAGUGUGAAUUUUUCCUGUUAGGACAAUUUUCUGUUUUAUAUCAUUAUUGAUGGAUGAUGGAUUUAUAUUGGUAGCUUAUUAUUCAAAAGUAAAAGUAAUAAUUGAUUUUUUCUCAUUGUAAUUGUGCUGUUUUGUAGAAACCGACAAAUGAUUACAUAAAGAAGGUUGAUGCUAUCUACAAACAGAAAGAAAAGGAGUUGCUGACUGUUUGAUCCUUUGGUACAAAAAAGCAAUCUUACUUGGGUUCUAUCUAAAGAAGUUCAAAUUGUGUUUACUUUGCGUAGUUUUUGUUGUUGAUAUAAGCUAAGUUUGAUUAUUGAUGUAUUUUUUUGUUUGUUAUAUGGAAGUCAACUUUUUUUGUUAAAUAUAUGCUUUUUGAAAUUGAAAAGGUGAGCGUUUUUUCAUAUUGAAAAGGUGAGAGUUCAUGCAUACAAAUUUGGAUUUCUUCACAAUUGCAUAAUUGGAAUUAGACUCCUAGACUAGUAAGAGUAGUACUCAAUUUGGAACAUAUUGGUUCACUGGAACGACUAUUGCUGGGUCAUUUAUAUGAGGUCGAUGGUCAUUUAUAAUUACAGUCCCCCCCGGUAAAGGAAAGGUUGAUGGUUCAGGUGUUGGUGUUGGUGUUGAUGUGACUUCAUGCACGAACUAGAGCAACUUUCUAUCCCAAAUUUGAAAAUGAGGUAUAUGAUUCCUGUCUCAGUUUUCUAUGUUUUGAUUUCAUGAGUGGAGGUUAUAUUGUUGAAUUUUGUCAUGUAUCAAUUUUCCUAGUUUAUAUAUUUUUUUCUUCAUAAUAAUGGUUUGAAUUUCAGCCUUAUGGGAUAUUAUAUAUUAGAUAAUCAAAAGAAACUGAUAUGCUCUGUGCUGAGACCCUAAAUUUGACCAUUGGAAUCAAUGAAUAUACUAUGUUUUAUAAAUUUUGUAACAGAUGGAUCAUAGAUGCCUCAAUGACUAUAGAGUAAAAUGCUGGACGAACAUAAUGCAUGAAUGGAUAUCUAUAGUGCUUUGGUGACCCUUAGCUCUAAAUUCAAUUUUGCAGUGAUUUGAAUUAUGAUCUUAAUGACCCUAUUACCUAAUGUUUCAUAAGUUUUGUAAGGAAUAGAUGCCUCAAUGAAACAAUGGCGUCAGAGUAAAAUGCAUUAUGACCCAAAUCGUGAAUCUAUCACUGAGAUGAAUUUUUUUUCAUUAUUGAUAAUGUGUUGUGUGGUAAACAUGAGCCCACUAACUUAAAAUUCAACAAUAAGAUGAAUAUACUUUGUUCUGUGAUUUUUGUAAGGGAUUUUCUUGAUGGUCCAAACAUGCAAGAUGAUGCUUUAAUGUGAAAGCUAGUUGAUGAGAAGGAAUUCUCAGAGUGGACUGUUUGGAUGGUCCAAGCCCAAAUACCUCCUCCUUCUCGACUAUAUAAGUCUCACAUCAUCACCUUUGAAGGUAUGUCUCAUUCUAAACCUCUCUUAUCGUAGUGAAAUUCUCACUGGAUUCCCUCAUGUGUUAAUCUCUGCCCUCAAUUGUUUUUUAUUGGUUGACCAACUUGUAGAAAAAAAAAAGUGAAUGGUCAGGAUUUCAUGGGAGAGAAAAUUAAUGGGAGAGGAUUCAUUCCCCUUUAAUGCAUAUAGACUCCCCCCUAAAAGUUGGUUUCGGGAGAGGAGAGAACAGGCUUGCUUCCUCUUGAUUGCUUAACGCUUGCUCAAAGGUCUUUGGCUUUGGUGGUAUGGCUGGUGUGAGGGUUGCCAUGCAAGGCCAAUCACAAAUCAUACUCUGGUCUAGCAUUAAAAUUCCAAAAACGCAUUAAAAUUCCAAAAGUUAUAUGUCUUCCCUUCCUCCCACCUCAUUUCUCACAGUCCCCAUGAAUUCCAAAAACGCCCCUAAUAGUACUUAUCGGAAGAUAUCUUCCAUUCGCUAAGACUGGGUUUGCCUACAAAUUGAUACCUGGCCGAAAGACAUUACCAAAAACACAGGUCUCCGCAAAGUCGUAAGACCAUGUAUGGGGGCUGACGCCUGCCCAGUGCCGGAAGGUUAAGGAAGUUGGUGACCUGAUGAUGACAGGGAAGCUGGCGACUGAAGCCCCGGUGAACGGCGGCCGUAACUAUAACGGUCCUAAGGUAGCGAAAUUCCUUGUCGGGUAAGUUCCGACCCGCACGAAAGGCGCAACGAUCUGGGCACUGUCUCGGAGAGAGACUCGGUGAAA
Trifolium pratense (red clover) is the source of this 4862-nucleotide RNA transcript. RefSeq lists it as uncharacterized. The transcript has 4 exons. Lineage: Eukaryota; Viridiplantae; Streptophyta; Magnoliopsida; Fabales; Fabaceae. The record is from RefSeq and is a predicted model, not a curated record.